UUAAAAAUUACAAAUAAUCUAAUGGAUACUUACAUAUAAUUAAGUAAGAAUUCGAUGGGCUAUAGCCAAGCGGUAAGGCAACGGACUUUGACUCCGUCAUGCGCUGGUUCGAAUCCAGCUAGCCCAGCCAUUUUUGCGGAAGUAGUUCAGUGGUAGAAUACAACCUUGCCAAGGUUGGGGUCGCGGGUUCGAAUCCCGUCUUCCGCUCCAAUAAAAUUUAAUAUGGCGGCAUAGCCAAGUGGUAAGGCAGAGGUCUGCAAAACCUUUAUCACCGGUUCAAAUCCGGUUGCCGCCUUUUCUUUUGUGCCGAUGUGGCGGAAUUGGCAGACGCGCACGACUCAAAAUCGUGUUCCUUCGGGAGUGUCGGUUCGACCCCGACCAUCGGUAUCAUGAACGGCGUAAUAAAAGACUCUACACCAAAUGUGUAGAGUCUUUUUAUGUUUUCAUCAUACUAUAAAAUAAGCAAAAAUGGUGUGUUGGUGAAAUGGUUAUAAAUGAUUAAGGUAAACUUAUUCAUUUAGUACAUGCGAUACAGUUGGGGAAAGCUACAAAACAAUAAAGGGAUAAAUUUUUAUCCCUUUAUAUAAUUUCAUUAUUUUAUAGAGAAUUUCUCCAACCUGGUGACAUGAAGUUAAAUCCGACGCCACCAGUAGAUAUUAGUACAUGAUCAGCUGUUAAUUUCGUAAUUUCUAAGAACUUCUUUUCAAACUCUUCUCUGUUGUAUUUGUACAUAGUUGAGUGGCAUGACCACAUGUGCGUUGAAGUACUCAACCAGUCUCCUAAUUCCUUUAAUUCAGGAAACGACUCAAAUCGAAUUGGUUCAUCUAAUUUCAUGAAUCUCACUUGAUAGAUAGUUGGGUUUAACUUCUCUCCUAUUCCUUUAAAAGCAUGUGAUUUUUUGUCUUUGGAAUGUGUCAUAAUUCACCCUCCACCUUUUCUUCAAAUUUUUUCCUAUUUUUAUUAUACAACAAUAGAAAACAAUUAUGGGAAUAAUAUGGAAAUCUUUAUUGGCAAUAUAAAAAGACUGUAACAGAAAUGUUAGAGUCUUUUUGUUAAAUUAUACUAUGUGCUUCUAAAAUUCGUAAUAAACGUAGGAAUUCAUGUAUAAUAUAACUUGUCGAAAGAACAAAAUGAUAGUGAUUUAUAUUAUGUCUGUAAUAUGAAUCAAAAAUGAACUUUUUAUAUUUCUUUUAAAAAUGUGUUGAACACACAUUAUAUUUCAUAUUAAUAUUUUUAUGUAGAUUUAAAACGGGAAAGAGAGUGGAAAGUAUGGGCCGUAAAUGGAACAAUAUUAAAGACAAAAAAGCAUCAAAAGAUGCAAAUACAAGCCGUAUAUACGCGAAAUUUGGGCGUGAAAUUUAUGUGGCAGCAAAACAAGGCGAGCCAGAUCCAGAAUCAAACCAAGCACUAAGAGUUGUAUUAGAGCGUGCGAAAACAUACAAUGUUCCAAGAACAAUUAUUGAUCGUGCAGUUGAAAAAGCAAAAGGCGGUUCAGAAGAAAAUUAUGACGAGCUUCGUUAUGAAGGAUUCGGACCAAAUGGAGCUAUGGUUAUUGUAGAUACACUUACAAAUAACGUAAACCGUACUGCAGCAGAUGUACGAGCUGCAUUUAGCAAAAACAGUGGUAAUAUGGGUGUGAACGGUUCUGUAGCUUACAUGUUUGAUGCGACAGCUGUUAUCGGCCUUGAAGGUAAAACAUCAGAUGAAGUUCUUGAAAUUUUAAUGGAAGCAGAUGUAGAUGCACGUGACAUUCUAGAAGAAGAAGAUUCUGUUAUCGUGUAUGCUGAACCAGAUCAAUUUCAUGCAGUACAAUCUGCACUUAAAGGUGCUGGCGUUGAGGAGUUUACAGUUGCAGAAUUAACAAUGCUUGCACAAAGUGAUGUAACACUUCCUGAAGAUGCUCAAGCACAAUUUGAGAAAAUGGUUGAUGCAUUAGAAGAUUUAGAAGAUGUUCAACAAGUUUAUCACAACGUAGACUUAGGAGAGUAAUACGAUAGAUGACCCUUUUCGCUUAGCGGAUAGGGUCUUUUUUAUGAAGUUAAUUAAGGUGAUGAAGUAUUAAAGGUAUUUUGUUGUAGGUAGGGAAUAUGAUUAUAGGGAUAUAUAAAAUAUUCAUUAUCUCUAGGAGGCUUAAUAUGGAACAUAAGACACCAAAGCAUAUCGUUGCUGUAGCCGGUUAUUUAACAAAUGGAAAAAAUGAAGUGUUAUUAACAAAAGUGCACUGGCGAGCUGAUACGUGGGAGUUGCCAGGAGGACAGGUAGAAGAAGGCGAAGCGCUCGAUCAAGCUGUCUGUAGGGAAAUAAAAGAGGAAACAGGGUUAACGGUGAAGCCUAUCGGAAUUACAGGCGUUUAUUAUAAUACUUCUAUGCAUAUUCUAGCUGUUGUUUUUAAAGUAGCAUAUAUAAGUGGUGAAAUAAAAAUUCAACCUGAAGAAAUACAAGAGGCUAAAUUUGUUGAUUUAAAUGAAGAGAACAUAGAUGAGUAUAUAACGCGUCCUCAUAUGAAAUCCAGAACGCUUGAUGCAAUGAGAGCAACACAUUUUAUUCCGUAUGAAACGUGGGAAGUACAGCCGUAUAAUUUAAUAGGAAGAUUGUAAAGAAAAGAGUAGNGGGUGAUGGCGUGCCUUUUGUAGAAUGAACCGGCGAGUUACGAUCCCGUGCGAGGUUAAGCUGAAGAGGCGGAGCCGCAGCGAAAGCGAGUCUGAAUAGGGCGUUUAGUACGUGGUCGUAGACCCGAAACCAGGUGAUCUACCCAUGUCCAGGGUGAAGUUCAGGUAACACUGAAUGGAGGCCCGAACCCACGCACGUUGAAAAGUGCGGGGAUGAGGUGUGGGUAGCGGAGAAAUUCCAAUCGAACCUGGAGAUAGCUGGUUCUCCCCGAAAUAGCUUUAGGGCUAGCCUUAAGUGUAAGAGUCUUGGAGGUAGAGCACUGAUUGGACUAGGGGUCCUCAUCGGAUUACCGAAUUCAGUCAAACUCCGAAUGCCAAUGACUUAUCCUUAGGAGUCAGACUGCGAGUGAUAAGAUCCGUAGUCAAAAGGGAAACAGCCCAGACCGCCAGCUAAGGUCCCAAAGUGUGUAUUAAGUGGAAAAGGAUGUGGAGUUGCUUAGACAACUAGGAUGUUGGCUUAGAAGCAGCCACCAUUUAAAGAGUGCGUAAUAGCUCACUAGUCGAGUGACUCUGCGCCGAAAAUGUACCGGGGCUAAAUACACCACCGAAGCUGCGGAUUGAUACCAAUGGUAUCAGUGGUAGGGGAGCGUUCUAAGGACAGUGAAGUCAGACCGGAAGGACUGGUGGAGUGCUUAGAAGUGAGAAUGCCGGUAUGAGUAGCGAAAGACGGGUGAGAAUCCCGUCCACCGAAUGCCUAAGGUUUCCUGAGGAAGGCUCGUCCGCUCAGGGUUAGUCAGGACCUAAGCCGAGGCCGACAGGCGUAGGCGAUGGACAACAGGUUGAUAUUCCUGUACCACCUCUUUAUCGUUUGAGCAAUGGAGGGACGCAGAAGGAUAGAAGAAGCGUGCGAUUGGUUGUGCACGUCCAAGCAGUUAGGCUGAUAAGUAGGCAAAUCCGCUUAUCGUAAAGGCUGAGCUGUGAUGGGGAAGCUCCUUAUGGAGCGAAGUCUUUGAUUCCCCGCUGCCAAGAAAAGCUUCUAGCGAGAUAAAAGGUGCCUGUACCGCAAACCGACACAGGUAGGCGAGGAGAGAAUCCUAAGGUGUGCGAGAGAACUCUGGUUAAGGAACUCGGCAAAAUGACCCCGUAACUUCGGGAGAAGGGGUGCUUUCUUAACGGAAAGCCGCAGUGAAUAGGCCCAAGCGACUGUUUAGCAAAAACACAGCUCUCUGCGAAGCCGUAAGGCGAAGUAUAGGGGGUGACACCUGCCCGGUGCUGGAAGGUUAAGGAGAGGGGUUAGCGUAAGCGAAGCUCUGAACUGAAGCCCCAGUAAACGGCGGCCGUAACUAUAACGGUCCUAAGGUAGCGAAAUUCCUUGUCGGGUAAGUUCCGACCCGCACGAAAGGUGUAACGAUUUGGGCACUGUCUCAACCAGAGACUCGGUGAAAUUAUAGUACCUGUGAAGAUGCAGGUUACCCGCGACAGGACGGAAAGACCCCGUGGAGCUUUACUGUAGCCUGAUAUUGAAUUUUGGUACAGUUUGUACAGGAUAGGCGGGAGCCAUUGAAACCGGAGCGCUAGCUUCGGUGGAGGCGCUGGUGGGAUACCGCCCUGACUGUAUUGAAAUUCUAACCUACGGGUCUUAUCGACCCGGGAGACAGUGUCAGGUGGGCAGUUUGACUGGGGCGGUCGCCUCCUAAAGUGUAACGGAGGCGCCCAAAGGUUCCCUCAGAAUGGUUGGAAAUCAUUCGUAGAGUGCAAAGGCAUAAGGGAGCUUGACUGCGAGACCUACAAGUCGAGCAGGGACGAAAGUCGGGCUUAGUGAUCCGGUGGUUCCGCAUGGAAGGGCCAUCGCUCAACGGAUAAAAGCUACCCCGGGGAUAACAGGCUUAUCUCCCCCAAGAGUCCACAUCGACGGGGAGGUUUGGCACCUCGAUGUCGGCUCAUCGCAUCCUGGGGCUGUAGUCGGUCCCAAGGGUUGGGCUGUUCGCCCAUUAAAGCGGUACGCGAGCUGGGUUCAGAACGUCGUGAGACAGUUCGGUCCCUAUCCGUCGUGGGCGUAGGAAAUUUGAGAGGAGCUGUCCUUAGUACGAGAGGACCGGGAUGGACGCACCGCUGGUGUACCAGUUGUUCUGCCAAGGGCAUAGCUGGGUAGCUAUGUGCGGAAGGGAUAAGUGCUGAAAGCAUCUAAGCAUGAAGCCCCCCUCAAGAUGAGAUUUCCCAUAGCGUAAGCUAGUAAGAUCCCUGAAAGAUGAUCAGGUUGAUAGGUUCGAGGUGGAAGCAUGGUGACAUGUGGAGCUGACGAAUACUAAUAGAUCGAGGACUUAACCAU
Molecule: ribosomal RNA, 4938 nt
Filed under: Streptococcus pneumoniae
Lineage: Bacteria; Bacillati; Bacillota; Bacilli; Lactobacillales; Streptococcaceae
Description: 23S ribosomal RNA
Rfam family: Bacterial large subunit ribosomal RNA (bases 2477-4938)
Source: RNAcentral